Molecule: long non-coding RNA, 1037 nt
Organism: Oryzias melastigma (Indian medaka)
Lineage: Eukaryota; Metazoa; Chordata; Actinopteri; Beloniformes; Adrianichthyidae
Exons: 2
Source: RefSeq, a predicted model, not a curated record
AGACUGUAUAUAAAAUAACGUAAUGUUUUACAGUCUAUGGAAACAGCUGGAAUUUUUCCAGAGAACAAUUUGUUGAGAAAUUUACGGUAAUUGGACUGCACUUGCGCAGAUGUGUUUCCACCGCCACGUUCAGAGUGAAGAUGUCCGCUGUAAGACGAGGGCUCUGCGUGCUUCCCAUGUCCUCCCAUGUCGUCCACGCCCCCCCUCUGGGGCCCCGGGGCCCCGGCGGGACUCAGCAACGGCUCCUGGUCUUUGCUGAAACCUAGAAUGACAUCAAUGCUGUGGACGUGGCCCCCCGCCGCCGCCACGCCGCCCUUCCCUAUCUCGUGGAAGUUGGCAGGUGAGAGGCAGCUGUCGUCCACCAGGCUCAUGGUAUCCAGGGAUAAAUGCAUUCGAGCGUCUGGGCUUUGACCCGCGGCCGUGGACAGGCAGAGGAGGCGCUGAUGAGAGACCACAGGAGGUCACAGAUCACCACUUGGUAAUCAAACGUCCCGUCCUUCAGCACAUACGCCCAGAGGUCAAGUGUAAUAAAGAAACUUUCAUCGGUUGAUAUUUGAUGUUUGAGAAUGCGUCAUAAAGUGCAGAAAAGAUGAUUAAACUGUUGAACCAGUCCAGAAUAACUCAUUAUAAACAUCCUGACAAACUCUAAACUACACAAACUCUUGACAAAAUUAAAAUAUUAGAUUAAAAUGUUAAUAUCAGAACUGAAAAAAGGUUAAAUAUCUGCAAAAAAUCCUCAAAUUGAAUGGAAAUUUUGGUCCGGAUGGGUCAAUUGAAUGCAAUUGCACAGUUCGUUUAGGGAAAAUGUGGUCCAAUCUUGUUAAAAAUUCACAAUUAGGAGCUUAUUCUACACUUUUUGUUAAAUAAAAUGUUUGCAGUGCUCACCUUUUGAUGCAAAUAUGUCAAAGUUUCCACAACUUGCCGUCCAGUUUGAUGAAUCACGUCCCCCAACUUUAUUUUCCCCAGACUUUCUAUCCUGCAGCAGCUGCUUCACAUCCCUCUCUGCAGCAAUUACAUUCAAACUUUCCAAAAAAAAA